This 274-nucleotide ribosomal RNA is filed under the name uncultured bacterium. Its description in RNAcentral is "partial 16S ribosomal RNA". It matches the Rfam family "Bacterial small subunit ribosomal RNA", at positions 523 to 796 of the family's 1533-position model. The record is from RNAcentral.
AUACGAAGGGGGCUAGCGUUGCUCGGAAUUACUGGGCGUAAAGGGCGCGUAGGCGGACAGUUUAGUCGGAGGUGAAAGCCCAGGGCUCAACCUUGGAAUUGCCUUUGAUACUGGCUGUCUUGAGUUCGGGAGAGGUGAGUGGAAUGCCGAGUGUAGAGGUGAAAUUCGUAGAUAUUCGGCGGAACACCAGUGGCGAAGGCGACUCACUGGCCCGAUACUGACGCUGAGGCGCGAAAGCGUGGGGAGCAAACAGGAUUAGAAACCCUAGUAGUCC